GCCCCGGUGGCGAAACCCGGUAGACGCAGCAGACUUAAAAUCUGCUGGCCGUAAGGCCGUGCCGGUUCAAAUCCGGCCCGGGGCACCA
This 88-nucleotide transfer RNA is filed under the name Gammaproteobacteria bacterium. Its description in RNAcentral is "tRNA-Leu". It matches the Rfam family "tRNA". From Rfam's summary of the family: Transfer RNA (tRNA) molecules are approximately 80 nucleotides in length. Their secondary structure includes four short double-helical elements and three loops (D, anti-codon, and T loops). Further hydrogen bonds mediate the characteristic L-shaped molecular structure. tRNAs have two regions of fundamental functional importance: the anti-codon, which is responsible for specific mRNA codon recognition, and the 3' end, to which the tRNAs corresponding amino acid is attached (by aminoacyl-tRNA synthetases). tRNAs cope with the degeneracy of the genetic code in two manners: having more than one tRNA (with a specific anti-codon) for a particular amino acid; and 'wobble' base-pairing, i.e. permitting non-standard base-pairing at the 3rd anti-codon position. Lineage: Bacteria; Pseudomonadati; Pseudomonadota; Gammaproteobacteria. RNAcentral also lists the same sequence under 1 other name. The record is from RNAcentral.